UCUCGCCUCUCCUCUGUCUCUCCGCCUCCUCUCCCUCUUCCUCACUUAGAGAAAACUAAAAAUGCAAAAUUGGAACCCCAACUUGAUUUCAUCUGUUUUUGUUUCUAAACACAUCACCUAUCCCCAAAUCGAGAUGAAGGAACCGAUAAAAAAUCAGAAAAACCAAAUAUUGUUUGCAUGGCCAAAAUUUCUGAUACUCAAAAUUGGUUCUGAGUAGAGAAGAUAAUCUCUCACGAAGAAAAAAGAUACCCAAUUUUUUCAGCAAUAAAGAGUUUCAUAAUCAGUUUUGAAUUUAGGAUUUCCCUAAACUAAUACUCUCAAUACCUAUGCUGCAUCGAUCUAUAAUACUCUAAUGGAAGUAGAUAUUGGGAAUACAAAGUCUUAUUCUUGGAAUUUGAGAAUGACCAAUUUCAUAUCAGAUAGAUCAGCUACAAAAUAUUGUUGUUAACCAAUGUAAACUUACUGGUGCUAAUCCUCUUUCUCAAGAAAUGUCCGGUGAAAUGUGAGAAUAAAGUCCUGGAGUCAUUUGGAAAGAAGCUGGAGGCACUUCACGCUGCUGUAAACAAUGGCAAUAGUCACAUUGUUCACGUUACCCCUUAGUCCAGUGCUCUAUGUGAUGUGCUUUUAACCACACCCAUAUUUACUGGGGAUGGAGAAGGAGGGAGUGCUUUUGCAGCAUCUUCCGCAGCAGCACGGCAAGUAGUGCUUCUGGAGUGGAUCCCAACUUGGAUCUUGAGCUUUUCUUUCUCUUAGAUCUUCAAUGGAGGAAGAGAGAGCAAGACAGGAGGCUGCUGCAAAGGCUGCAAAAGAAAAAUUAGGUGGAUAGGUGUCAAAGCACUGGCUUUAUUUCUCAUGGAGCUAAUACAGGCUAUUUGAUGCUAGAGCAAGCACUUGUCAACGAACGACCAUCAGUCUGUUCCAUCUGGUUUCAUAAAAUUUCAUAUGGCUUUGGCACAUGAUCAUUGCUAAUGGUGUUAUCCUAAAUGGUUGUGGACCAUUUGUUCGGGUUGACCAAGCAUAUACCAUCAGACUGGGAUCAGUUUUUAUUUCUUUUUUUCAUGAAAUGUUCUUUAAGUACCUCGUUGUUGUAGUCGAAAUAAUUAAUGUAUCAAUCAAUUAUAAAUGAAUAAAAUUAUUUGUGAAUUAA
This is a long non-coding RNA of Papaver somniferum (opium poppy), 1147 nucleotides long. RefSeq lists it as uncharacterized. Lineage: Eukaryota; Viridiplantae; Streptophyta; Magnoliopsida; Ranunculales; Papaveraceae. The record is from RefSeq and is a predicted model, not a curated record. The transcript is spliced from 5 exons.